UGCAAGUCGAACGGUAACAUUGGUGCUUGCACCAGAUGACGAGUGGCGCACGGGUGCGUAACGCGUAUGCAAUCUACCUUUUACUGAAGAAUAGCCCAGAGAAAUUUGGAAUAAUCCUUCAUAAUAUCAUUUAUCAGCAUUGAUUUAUGAUUAAAGCUCCGGCGGUAAAAGAUGAGCAUGCGUCCUAUUAGUUUGUUGGUGAGGUAACGGCUCACCAAGACUACGAUAGGUAGGGGCCCUGAGAGGGGGAUCCCCCACACUGGUACUGAGACACGGACCAGACUCCUACGGGAGGCAGCAGUGAGGAAUAUUGGACAAUGGAGGCAACUCUGAUCCAGCCAUGCCGCGUGAAGGAUGACUGCCCUAUGGGUUGUAAACUGCUUUUAUAUAGGAAGAAACACUCCCACGUGUGGGGGCUUGACGGUACUAUAUGAAUAAGGAUCGGCUAACUCCGUGCCAGCAGCCGCGGUAAUACGGAGGAUCCAAGCGUUAUCCGGAAUCAUUGGGUUUAAAGGGUCCGCAGGCGGCCUGUUAAGUCAGAGGUGAAAGCCAACAGCUCAACUGUUGAACUGCCUUUGAUACUGAUAGGCUUGAGUUAUUGUGAAGUGGUUAGAAUGUGUGGUGUAGCGGUGAAAUGCUUAGAUAUCACACAGAAUACCCAUUGCGAAGGCAGAUCACUAACAAUAUACUGACGCUCAUGGACGAAAGCGUGGGGAGCGAACGGGAUUAGAUACCCCGGUAGUCCACGCCGUANACGAUGGAUACUAACUGUUCGACCUUCGGGUUGAGUGGUCAAGCGAAAGUGAUAAGUAUCCCACCUGGGGAGUACGCUCGCAAGAGUGAAAC
RNAcentral lists this ribosomal RNA (846 nucleotides) under uncultured marine bacterium. Its description in RNAcentral is "bacterial SSU rRNA". It matches the Rfam family "Bacterial small subunit ribosomal RNA", at positions 56 to 900 of the family's 1533-position model. The record is from RNAcentral.